Oncorhynchus tshawytscha (Chinook salmon) is the source of this 843-nucleotide long non-coding RNA. The record is from Ensembl. NCBI's taxonomy places the organism in Eukaryota, Metazoa, Chordata, Actinopteri, Salmoniformes, Salmonidae.
GUGAGUAGUAGGCCUUCGGUUCUAGGCCAAUACAGAGUGAUACAAUUUGUGAUUCAGUAAUGUUGGCUUCUUAGCAUUCAUUGCCAUGGUUAUCAACUGUACCCCAGAAACUGAACGUAAAUCACAGAAAUAGAUGUUGUGGUGUCAGCUGCAGAGCAGUUCUUCGGUGUAUGAGAUUUUACUGAGGAAUUACAAGGUGGCGGCAUGUACAAACAAAAUGUGCGAACAGACGAUACCAAAGAAGAAGAUGAAGAUGAAGAAGACGGGUUUGACAGACGUGAUCCGCUAGAACGCGCCUUCGUCGCCGUUCGGGAUUAUGCAUAUCACAGUGCGAAAAGCAGCAGAUGGCCGUUUGGUUUUAUCCCAGUGCCAGAAGGACCACUUGUAUCAUUGCCCCUUCUGCCAGCCCUCAAUUUUCAAGCCCCGAGACUAUGCCAGUGUGUUGACACACAUUGAGUCGCACAGAUUGAAGGCUGUGCUGCAUAGAGAGUUCACAAUAUUCAUAUGCCAUCUGGAGUGCAGAGAAGCAAAGCAUUUCCACUGCCCAUAUUGCCCCAAGACUUAUGUAAAUAGGAGUGAUUUUACCAAACACAUUCCACAAUGUGAGUCAGUAUGUUAUCGAGCCCCAGGUUCAACAGCGAGAGCCCCAGAUGUAACCAGUGCAUCAGCGAGAGCCCCAGAUGUGACCAGUGCAUCAGCGAGAGCCCCAGAUGUGACCAGUGCAUCGGCGAGAGCCCCAGAUGUGACCAGUGCAUCGGCGAGAGCCCCAGAUGUGACCAGUGCAUCGGCGAGAGCCCCAGAUGUGACCAGUGCAUCGGCGAGAGCCCCAGAUGUGACCAGUGC